UCGUGCUAAGCGGGGAGCUAGCGGUGCCCUGUACCCGCAAUCCGCUACAGCGGGGCCGAAUUCCCGACUGAGGCUCUCCGGUUUUGAGUAUUGCGCACGGGCAAGUGGUGUUGAAGGUCGGGUCCUGCGCAACGGGAACUUGUGAACCCCGUCAGGUCCGGAAGGAAGCAGCGGUAAGCAAACCUUCUCGUGUGCCGCAGAUCAACCUGUCCGGAGCUAACUACACGUGUAGCGCUUGGGGUCGGGAGUCGAGGAAGGGUGCACGA
Molecule: signal recognition particle RNA, 266 nt
Filed under: Candidatus Solincola sediminis
Lineage: Bacteria; Bacillati; Actinomycetota; Candidatus Geothermincolia; Candidatus Geothermincolales; Candidatus Geothermincolaceae
Description: Actinobacteria bacterium RBG_16_55_12 signal recognition particle sRNA large type
Rfam family: Bacterial large signal recognition particle RNA
About the family: The signal recognition particle (SRP) is a universally conserved ribonucleoprotein involved in the co-translational targeting of proteins to membranes. Archaeal SRP consists of a 7S RNA and homologues of the eukaryotic SRP19 and SRP54 proteins. In most bacteria, the SRP consists of a 4.5S RNA and the Ffh protein (a homologue of the eukaryotic SRP54 protein).
Source: RNAcentral